RNAcentral lists this ribosomal RNA (1378 nucleotides) under Crepititermes verruculosus. RNAcentral describes it as "16S ribosomal RNA". The stretch from base 866 to 1262 matches the Rfam family "Bacterial large subunit ribosomal RNA", at positions 2049 to 2651 of the family's 2925-position model. The record is from RNAcentral. Lineage: Eukaryota; Metazoa; Arthropoda; Insecta; Blattodea; Termitidae.
GCGAUUCGACAUGGUCUGAUUUUAUUGAUUAUUUUGUUUUUAUUGAUGUUUAUAUGAAUUUUUAUUGAAGAAUCAUUUUAGUUAUUGUAUUUUUGUGAUUUAAUUUUUUAUACUAUAGUAUAUUUGUACUGUGAGGGGUCAUGUUAAUAUCUUUUUGGAAGCUGAUUUUUUUUGUUGUACCUUGUGUAUCAGGGUUCAUUGAAUUAUAUUAUUUAUUUUUAUUUCCCGAUUUUAAAGGAGUUAAUGAUUUAUGUUAGUUACUGUUUCAUUAGUAUUAAUAAUAGGUUAUUGGUAGUGAAAUGUUAAUCGUUUUUAGUGGUUUCUGGUUUUUCAAGAAAUGAAUUUAAUUCAUACAUUUUAUUUAAUUUCUGUUAUUGUUUUAUUAAUUUUUAUUUUAUGUUAAGAUUAAGGGGGAUUAGCUCCUUGUUUUAUUUUUAUAAUUUAUUUGGAUUAUAUUUAGUUUUGUGGAUUUUAUAGUGAUUUUCAAUUUGAUUAUGUUAAAAUUUUAUUUAUUUUUUUGUUUAUUUCCUUUAAUUUAAGUUUUAUAUUGAAAUGUUUAUUUUAUUUUAUUUUGUAUAGUAAUUAUUGUGUAAUUAGUAAAUCUGAUUUUUGUGUUGUUUAGUUGUUUGGGUGUUAAUUUCUUUUUAGGAAUUCGGCAAAUAUUUAUGUCCGCCUGUUUAACAAAAACAUCUUUUCUUGUCAGUUUUUGAAGUAUGGCCUGCCCACUGACUUAUUUGUUGAAGGGCCGCGGUAUUUUGACCGUGCAAAGGUAGCAUAAUCAUUAGUUCUUUAAUUGUGAUCUGGUAUGAAUGGCUUGACGAGGCAUAAGCUGUCUUAAUUGUAUUGUUUUAAUUGAAUUUGGUUUUUGAGUAAAAAUUCUUAAAUGUUUUUGUGGGACGAGAAGACCCUAUAGAGUUUGACACUUAUCUUUUCUUAUGUUGUGGUUUAGUUUUUAACUUUUAGCUGGAUAAUUGUUUUGUUGGGGUGAUGGGAGGAAUUUUUUUAACUCCUCUUUAUUUUUUAUACUUAUUUGUAUAGUUUUUGAUCCAUUUAUGUUGAUUAUAAGAUUAAAUUACCUUAGGGAUAACAGCGUUAUCUUCCUUGAGAGUUCUUAUUGGCGGGGAGGUUUGCGACCUCGAUGUUGGAUUAAGGUUAAUUUUCGGUGCAGGAGCUGAAAGUGAUUGGGUCUGUUCGACCUUUAAAAUCUUACAUGAUCUGAGUUCAGACCGGCGUGAGCCAGGUUGGUUUCUAUCUACAAUAGUAUUUUAUACCUUAGUACGAGAGGACCGGGUAUUUGGAAUAAUUUUUUGUUGUAUGAUUAUUAUUAACAUGUAUUACUAUUUUGGCAGAUAAGUGCAUUGGAUUUAGAAUCUAUUAA